GGCAUAAUUAUAAUUUACGUUUCGGCCGUAAAAUAGACAGCGACCUGUCAUAUGCUU
This 57-nucleotide transfer RNA is filed under the name Duthiersia expansa. RNAcentral describes it as "tRNA-Arg". The record is from RNAcentral. Lineage: Eukaryota; Metazoa; Platyhelminthes; Cestoda; Diphyllobothriidea; Diphyllobothriidae.